AUGCUACGUCAAAACCGCAAAAGAAAAACAGAUCAGGCAGUGGAUAGCGUGAAUAUAUCAGUUCUUACUGGAAGAGAGAAGAUGAUGAUUGGUGCCUCCAAUUCAAUUACUACUCCAAACUUCACGCCAAUCUCGCUACUCCAAAUUCAAUACUAUCAACACCACCACCCACUUUUUCUCUCUCCCUCUCUCCAUUGA
Non-coding RNA from Vicia faba (fava bean), 198 nucleotides. The record is from the annotation of a GenBank genome assembly. Lineage: Eukaryota; Viridiplantae; Streptophyta; Magnoliopsida; Fabales; Fabaceae.